AUGAACGCUAGCGGCAGGCUUAACACAUGCAAGUCGAGGGGCAUCGGGAGUAGCAAUACUUGCCGGCGACCGGCGCAAGGGUGCGUAACGCGUGAGCAACAUGCCCGUAUCAGGGGGAUAAUCCAUGGAAACGUGGUCUAAUACCCCAUAGUAAUUAUGUAAGGCAUCUUAUAUAAUUUAAAGCUUUGGUGGAUACGGAUUGGCUCGCGUGACAUUAGCUGGAUGGUAAGGUAACGGCUUACCAUGGCUACGAUGUCUAGGGGUUCUGAGAGGAAGGUCCCCCACACUGGAACUGAGACACGGUCCAGACUCCUAUGGGAGGCAGCAGUGAGGAAUAUUGGACAAUGGAUGGAAAUCUGAUCCAGCCAUGCCGCGUGCAGGAAGAACCGGCCCUAUGGGUUGUAAACUGCUUUUGUAUGGGAGCAAUAAGGGCUACGUGUAGUCCGAUGAGAGUACCAUACGAAUAAGCACCGGCUAACUCCGUGCCAGCAGCAGC
This 496-nucleotide ribosomal RNA is filed under the name uncultured bacterium. RNAcentral's name for it is "bacterial SSU rRNA". It matches the Rfam family "Bacterial small subunit ribosomal RNA", at positions 29 to 518 of the family's 1533-position model. The record is from RNAcentral.